GUUGGCCAGGCUGGUCUUGAACUCAUGGCCUCAAGUUACCCAUCCACCUUGGCCUCCCAAGUGUUCUAGAAUUACAGGCAUGAGCCACUGCAUCCAGCCUUAUCUUUAAUUUUUUAAAUCAUGUUUAUCAGUUCUCUGGAGGAAACAGUGUUGGAAUAAAUAAUAAAUUUGUAAACCCAGAGUAGAAUAUAAUCUUGACUUCAUUGACAAUAAUUGAAAUUUAAAACAACAAAGUACAACUCAAAAACCCAAGAGGUGUGGGGAGAGACACAAACUGAAGGAAACACAAUCAAAAAAGAAAAGCACAUGACAUAACUCACUUAAGUUUUUGAACAGAUUAUUGUAACAUACAGAAAGUUGUCAGCAAGUUUAUAUACCUGAUCUGAUAUCUUGUCUCAGUGUCAUGAGAAUGCUAAGAAGUAACACAGGGUAACCCUUUUAAAAGACUUUAUCGUUUUAGUGGCAUGAUGCAUCAUUUUUUUUGCAUUUAAUUCAGAAACUGGAAGAAUAUUCUCUGAGUUAAAUUUGAGGUGGAUGCCACUGUGCAGUUUCACUAAAAUACCCAGACAGUUUGAUAUCAUGUGCACAAUCUGUUAGCUCAGGAAGAACGGGAGAAAGAUAUGGUCCUUGUGUAUGUGUGGAAAGUCAUCAUAACUUCAUUCAGUUUCUGUCUUCUUCCAGUCAGGGAUCUACUAGCUUGACUAUUCUUCACUUGUUCCCUUUCAUUUACAGGUCACCCAACAAGACAAACAACACAGAUCCGCUUGCCAUUUUCCGUAACAAAGGCAGGGGCUAAACUUAUCUUAGCUGUUGCCCACAAUUUAUGAAGAGAUAAUCCGGUUCAUAGGAAAUGAG
Molecule: long non-coding RNA, 855 nt
Filed under: Callithrix jacchus (white-tufted-ear marmoset)
Lineage: Eukaryota; Metazoa; Chordata; Mammalia; Primates; Cebidae
Description: lncRNA (ENSCJAG00000079470.1)
Source: RNAcentral